AUUGAACGCUAGCGGCAUGCUUAACACAUGCAAGUCGAACGGUAACAGGCCUAGCUUGCUAGGUGCUGACGAGUGGCGGACGGGUGAGUAACGCGUAGGAAUUUACCUUGUAGUNGGGGAUAACUUGGGGAAACCCAAGCUAAUACCGCAUAAGCCCUAAGGGGGAAAGCGUGGGACCGAAAGGCCACGUGCUAUGAGAUGAGCCUGCGUCGGAUUAGCUAGUUGGUAGGGUAAAGGCCUACCAAGGCGUAGAUCCGUAGCUGGUCUGAGAGGACGACCAGCCACACUGGGACUGAGACACGGCCCAGACUCCUACGGGAGGCAGCAGUGGGGAAUAUUGGACAAUGGGCGCAAGCCUGAUCCAGCAAUGCCGCGUGUGUGAAGAAGGCCUGCGGGUUGUAAAGCACUUUCGGUGGGGAGGAAGGCCUGAUGGUUAAUAGUCCUCAGA
RNAcentral lists this ribosomal RNA (448 nucleotides) under uncultured bacterium. RNAcentral describes it as "bacterial SSU rRNA". It matches the Rfam family "Bacterial small subunit ribosomal RNA", at positions 30 to 472 of the family's 1533-position model. The record is from RNAcentral.